RNAcentral lists this ribosomal RNA (586 nucleotides) under uncultured bacterium. RNAcentral's name for it is "bacterial SSU rRNA". It matches the Rfam family "Bacterial small subunit ribosomal RNA", at positions 60 to 647 of the family's 1533-position model. The record is from RNAcentral.
AGUCGAACGAGCAAUUAAAUGAAGUUUUCGGAUGGAUUUUUGAUUGACUGAGUGGCGGACGGGUGAGUAACGCGUGGAUAACCUGCCUCACACUGGGGGAUAACAGUUAGAAAUGACUGCUAAUACCGCAUAAGCGCACAGUACCGCAUGGUACGGUGUGAAAAACUCCGGUGGUGUGAGAUGGAUCCGCGUCUGAUUAGCCAGUUGGCGGGGUAACGGCCCACCAAAGCGACGAUCAGUAGCCGACCUGAGAGGGUGACCGGCCACAUUGGGACUGAGACACGGCCCAAACUCCUACGGGAGGCAGCAGUGGGGAAUAUUGCACAAUGGGCGAAAGCCUGAUGCAGCGACGCCGCGUGAGUGAAGAAGUAUUUCGGUAUGUAAAGCUCUAUCAGCAGGGAAGAAAAUGACGGUACCUGACUAAGAAGCCCCGGCUAACUACGUGCCAGCAGCCGCGGUAAUACGUAGGGGGCAAGCGUUAUCCGGAUUUACUGGGUGUAAAGGAAGCGUAGACGGCGAAGCAAGUCUGAAGUGAAAACCCAGGGGCUCAACCCUGGGACUGCUUUGGAAACUGUUUUGCUAGAGU